RNAcentral lists this transfer RNA (70 nucleotides) under Ixodes ovatus. RNAcentral's name for it is "tRNA-Gln". Lineage: Eukaryota; Metazoa; Arthropoda; Arachnida; Ixodida; Ixodidae. The record is from RNAcentral.
UAGUUUUUAGUGUAAUUUUGCACGAUAAAUUUUGAUUUUAUAGGAAAUAAAUAAAUAUUAUUAAAACUAA